AUUGAACGCUGGCGGCAUGCUUUACACAUGCAAGUCGAACGGUAACAGGCCGCAAGGUGCUGACGAGUGGCGAACGGGUGAGUAAUGCAUCGGAACGUGCCCAGUCGCGGGGGAUAACUACUCGAAAGAGUAGCUAAUACCGCAUACGAUCUAUGGAUGAAAGCGGGGGACCGUAAGGCCUCGCGCGAUUGGAGCGGCCGAUGUCAGAUUAGGUAGUUGGUGGGGUAAAGGCUCACCAAGCCAACGAUCUGUAGCUGGUCUGAGAGGACAACCAGCCACACUGGGACUGAGACACGGCCCAGACUCCUACGGGAGGCAGCAGUGGGGAAUUUUGGACAAUGGGCGCAAGCCUGAUCCAGCAAUGCCGCGUGCAGGAAGAAGGCCUUCGGGUUGUAAACUGCUUUUGUACGGAACGAAACGGCUCUGGUUAAUACCCGGGGCUAAUGACGGUACCGUAAGAAUAAGCACCGGCUAACUACGUG
RNAcentral lists this ribosomal RNA (482 nucleotides) under uncultured bacterium. Its description in RNAcentral is "partial 16S ribosomal RNA". It matches the Rfam family "Bacterial small subunit ribosomal RNA", at positions 30 to 507 of the family's 1533-position model. The record is from RNAcentral.